Molecule: transfer RNA, 74 nt
Filed under: Deltaproteobacteria bacterium
Lineage: Bacteria; Pseudomonadati; Myxococcota; Myxococcia
Description: tRNA-Pro
Rfam family: tRNA
About the family: Transfer RNA (tRNA) molecules are approximately 80 nucleotides in length. Their secondary structure includes four short double-helical elements and three loops (D, anti-codon, and T loops).
Source: RNAcentral
CGGGAUGUAGCGCAGUCUGGCAGCGCGUCUGCAUGGGGAGCAGGAGGUCACAGGUUCAAAUCCUGUCAUUCCGA